GUUCGGUCUUUCGUAACUCGUGACUUAUAAUGAUUGGCAAAAAUGAUGAAUUAUAUUUUUCAAAUUUUUCCUCAGGGUAUGUUAUAAUUUUGUACUACUUAUUCUUAGAUCAGUUACUAUAAUCAUUUGUAUUUGUGUUUCGAACUUGCCACUUUAUAAUAGCGUUUCGUAUAUCAUGAUCGAUGUAUUCAUGGAGUAAAACAUAUUAGUCCGAAUAGCUUGAUUGAUGUCUCUUGUGUCCAUAUCACAUUACUAUUACAAGGAUUGAUGUACAUUUUAAACCUAAUAUACUACGUAGCUGUAGAUAUUAAUAAAUAGUUUGUGAUUUUAUAAGAAUUGUUCAUUAAAUCAUAAACGGAGAGGUAAUGAAAUAAAUACUACCAUCAAUUGAAUAUAGCAAGAACUUUAUAAAAGACGAGGCAGACUCACAGAUGGUUUAAGUAUAUUAGUAUAUGUCUCAAAACUCUGAGAAACGUAUGACGGUUUUGUAUUCGCAUUUUUUAAAUUUUUUUUAAAAUUUUUUUUUUUCUUUCAAAUAGAUCACACAUGAAAAAAAGUUGUUGCAUAAAGAGAUGUGUUUAUACGUGCGUAAAAAGUACGAACAUACAUCAAUUGAAAAAGAGUUGUUAGUCAAGGAUAGAAGCUGAAAAAGGAAACGCUCGACUAGAUUUGAUAAACUCCCUCUUGUUAUGUUAUAUUAUGAAUUGUCGAAAUUAACAUAUUUCUCUUCUUAUCUAACCUUAACGACCAAAACUCAUUGACGUUAUCGUAAAAAAUAUACAUAUAUGUUCAUAGUCAUCGAUCGUUUGCAAAUUAUUUAUUACUUAUCGUUUAUCAGUUAUUAUUAUAUUUUAGAAAAAUAAUUAUUUAUUUCUAAUUAUACAAGAGAAAGCAUAACAAUAAAGCAUGAGAAUAUUGGUAAUAUUGUAACGAAAGAGGGAGUUUUAUUAUUAAGAAAAAACGUGACUUUCGCUCCUAUUGGAGGAGUAUCGGGAAAAAUGUACAACGAGGAAAAUUAUUUCAAAUAAAGUAAUUUGCUUCGCAAGCGAUUGUAGUUUUGUAAAUUAAUGUGUGAAUUGUUUUUAUCGCGAAAAUGACAAGGAAAUUGAUAUUAUUUUAUGAUAUCAUCGUCCAUCAGCGCGAUAUGACGUGAAACUUCAGAAUAGAACUUCGAUAGAAUAUCGAAUGAAAAAUCGAUUUUCAGUGUUUCGAUUUUUACCAUGAUCUUCGAUACUUAUAUUAGUUAAGUCGGGUUAUGGAGCGUUGAUAUUUGUGAAUACAUUUGACAGAAUAAAAAAAAAAAGAAAAAAAAUUAGUACGAUUUUGAAAGAUUUGAGAAAUAAGGAUAUAGAUAAGAAAAUAUUUUUAAAAUAAAAUUAAUAAAUUUUAAAAAUAAGAAAAUAAAAAAAAGAACAAAAAAGAGCAAGAAUAGUGUGACCUAAACGGAAAAAAAAAUGCAUAUUCAUUUCAAAUAGUUAUCAAAUAUCAUAAAUCUUGAAAACCGAUAACCUAGAAACAGGUACAAUAUUAACGUCCUUCCUCUCCUCUGAAUCCCGACGCUUUUGAAAAGAGUUACAGACGCGGAAUAUCGAUAGACAAAAAUUAAUUAUGCGACGUUGGAGUGGGGAAGAGCAAUAUCGGAUGGAAUUCACGGAACGAACGGGUGAGAGGCCGAUGUCCGAUAUUUACAUAGCUUGAAUAAAAGUUUGGGGUACCGUCCUUUUAUUCGUCUUUUUCAUCACUUAAAACUUUUCAACUCUUAUAACUCUCAAUUUCGUUUAAAUAUUCAAAAUAAUAUAUAAGAAUAAUCCAAAAAAUAUUUCUACAGGAAAUAGGAGCCGAUUUUUCGAAUUCAUCGAUUCGUCAAUGGAUCGUUCAAUAUCACAUAUCGAUUUCCAAAGAUCAAUUGAUAGAUGAUGACGCAAAAGAAUCGGAAAUUUAAUAAAACAAUUUUAUUCUGAAGAAAGAGGUUAUGAAUGAUGGAAAAGAAAAUAUAUAAAUGCUUGAGAAAUAUGAUGGUAAGAGAUGGAAUCAAGAAUCAAGUCGGAGAGAGAGAGAGAGAAAGAGAGAGAGAAAGAGAGGAAUGAAGCUCCUUGACCCGACUGAUUUGAUAAAUUCCAAGCAUUUCUGCCAUUCUAUAGCAUAGUUAUAUGUGUAAAUAUGUAUUCCGCUUGGUGUUCUACGUUUCUUAGCGAUGAUACCCGCACCCGGCCCUCGCGAGAAUGAGUUUAAUUGACUGAAAUGCCGAGUCGAAUUGCGGGCACGUUGAAGCAUGUAUGGAAGUUCGUUAAUAUCGACGAUAUGUGGGAGAUAAGACGGAUUGAUUUGAUAAUUUUUUACGAUAUUUUAAAUCUCAAUAUCCAAUUAAUUCUCAUUUGGUUUAUACAUAUUUUUCGAAUUUGAUAUCUUAUUUACGUAAUAACCUAACUUUUUAAUGCAAUCAAACGAAUUGGAUUUUUUUGGAAUAUGCACGACACGUGAAUGAGAUUUCUAAGAUUAUUAAGAAAUAAAAAUAAAAAGAUAUGGAAAAUCUAGCGUGUGAAUAAACGUAACUAUAGAAUGUUUCGGAAUAUCAGAUGUCGAGGCUUUUGAAAAUUGAAUACCACUUGAACUAACUGAAAUGCUUGCGCUAUUGCUAUUCUAGAUAUCCAAAACAUCCAGAUAUUAGAUACCUUACGUAUCCCAAAUAUUGAAUAGAAUAUUUCAUGUUUCAGAUAUUCGAAUUCCGUUUCUUUUAAGGUAUGUACACGUAUUUGACACACAGUAUAUGACUAUCAUUUAGUUUAUCAUAUUUCUUAUGGUAGAAAUAUUCGAUUGAACAUUAAUAAAUUCUCCCAGGUAUCGUGUGACAUUUAUCCGUGGCGUCGCAGCAUUAACUAGAACGCGCCAAAGCGGAAAUCGCUGGUUUAUCGCGCUGACAGACGCGGGGAUUUAAUCGUUCGAUCGGAUUAGAUGCGAUUGUCAGAGCUACUGUCACGCCUGUCGCAAGCGUUUCGAUAGAAAAUUGAAAACCGUGAAACAGGAGAGUUUAGACUGGCAAGGAGGGACACACGGGAGAUUCCUGUAAACGGUUCGGUUUCUUUAAUACAUUGUUCGCUUUUGUGCGGACGCAAACGUUGCGAUCGAUAAAAUCUGACAAAUUACACAACAAUACAAUGACAUUAGAUACGAUCGGUCUCUUGUCGCCGAUAAAAAAAACUCCUCCAACUUGGGUCUGGUCAAACGCUGCUUGAAACGAAACGCGAUCGUUUUGAUUUUGCAUUGCAGUGGUUUUUUCCAUUUCUUUUCCUUUUUUUCUUCUUCUUUUUUUUUUUUUAAUGCUUUUGUAUUUUUAAGCAAUUUCUAGACUAGAACCAAGUUCGAGGAUUGUUGGCCGUUAGGCGGGAGAUUUGACAAGCUUCGAGGACGCAUCGACGUCGACGAUUCCCGUCGGUGGUCCUAUAGUAAUAUACACAUGACUGUAUAUUAGAUAAGAAAACUUUGAAUCGAGGAUAUUGAACGAGAGCGUUGCACGAGAGACUGCUUCUCCUAUUUUUUUCUUCUCUAUUACAUUUACAGAAAUGUGUUACACAUGUAUAUUAUGAUGAUCCUCGGCCUUCAUAAGCAUAGGGAAAUCGUCGAAGAUCGCAAGAUCGUAUUUUUUUUUUUCAUCGUUUCGUUAGUUUCUUUCUUCCUUUUUUUAAUCUGACACGUUCGAAGUUUUCUCCAAUUUUUUUUUUUUUUUGCUAACUCGAACAUUCUUUAUUGCAGGUUCUUUGCGUCAGCGUGAAAUGAUGAAGAAAAAAAAGUACGGAUAAACGUAAUCUUGACAGGUUUACGAAUUUAAGUUAAGGCGCUAUAUUAAAAUGGAAAUAAGAUUUGGUAAGAAUCUCUUUGGUCGUCUGGGAUAAAUUUUUGCUGAUUCGAAAACAAGCAUUUUUUAUAAUGGCUACGAUUCACAAUAGAUACAAAAUGACGCAAAAAGAACAAAGGUAAUUACCAGCCAAACGAGUUUGUUUAUUGCUUUUAUCUUCGCCAAUCAUAUCACGUGUUUUGUUAUCGUUUAAGCCUGAAAGCCAUGAAAAAAGAGAUAGAAUAUUAGUGGGAAUAAGUAGAACGUAAUUUUAACGCGAUUAACGUUCAAGCGAAAAUUAUGCUGGAAAUUAGAGCACACGAUAUGGCAGAUAUGUUAUCAGAAAUUAUAACAUAUAUUGCGCUAAAACUAAAAAGAAACUAGGAAAUAUGGUUGCAGUUAAGAGAUACGAUAAUGCGAAUUAUAUGACGAAGAUUACGCGAAAUUUAUAGUGAAUUUAACAACAGGUAUCGUCGAGUUAAUGUCUAAUUGAAGAGUAUAAUUAUUCUUUUUAUCGUUGAAACGAAACGAUGACGCUCGAUCGUGCGAUUCGCUUGAAAUCCUUCUCCGCUUCGCUUCAUACUAUAGGCACAACUCUCUUUUAUUUAAUUUUCAUUCUUAAAUCAUCAACAGUUUAGUACAGUUAUAAUAUGUACAAAGUAUACAGACUCCGCUACUUCAGAGGAGGGACACAACUUUCAUGCGAUGUAUCGUCUUUUCUCGAAUGAAUUGCUGCUUCCAGUUAAAAGCACCGGUUCGAAUUUCGCGGAUCUUGCCAUUUCUCCUUGCUUAUUAAAAAAUUGUCUCGAAUGACUCUAUCGAAGUGGAAACGAAAGAACAAGCCUUUGAGAAAACGAUCUAAAUUUUUCUUUCAAAAUUAUCUCAUAUUUUUUUCAUAAAUAUAACUUAUAUAUUUCAGAAUCUGUUUUAUCAAGAUCGAACGAAUAGUUCGAAGAGCAGAGUCAAGGAUAGAAUCGGACAGCAGGGAUGUAUCGACAUGAAAAAUCCAAGUAAUUUUCGUAUUCAUGAAAAUUAAGGAAGAAAUGAAAAGACAUUGCAUUUGGGGAGGAACGCCAUCAGCUUUCUCAUCGGUGCUUUUAAUCAGGUAUUGGGGGAGGGUCGACGAGUUUCGUGUGUACAAGCAAACCCGAUUCAACUACGGACACACGUGCGUGGCACACGACGAUUCAUGCUGGACUGUUAGACGUAAUAUCUAACGUGUGAACUAACUGGUGUAUCGAUCGUCUUGCUACUGAUGCGAUGUAUACUGAUGCAAGACGUGCACAUCGUAAGUACAUGUGUUUCAGUAUAUAUAUAUCGGUUAUUUGAAACUAUAAUUACACGAGGGAUGGAGGAAAGAACAGGAUACGAAGCUUUCAAAUGGGACAUCAUAUCGGCAUCAAGAUAGAAAAGAUAAGGAGAAACAGUUUCACGAAUCGGUUGUAGAAUUCUCACCGUUUCCAAGAAAAUCAAUAUGAAAGUAGAUGCACUACCAGGAUGUAGAUACAAUCUGGUUGAAUUGUCUCUACGUUUUCUUGUCUCUACACACAGAUAUAUACUUUGAGCCGGAGGGGAAGAUGAAAAGUACUGAUUUGCGAACUACUUUAAAUGGUAGGAAAGGGAGAAUAAGGGUGGAACAAGACAGUGGAAAGGAAAGUUUGCAGAGAAGAGAUAUUUAUAUCUGUCUCGGUUUGUAUGACCAGCUUUGUCCAGUAUCUGUUCUUCCCUAAAGGACAGUAUUGAAAUUGGGACAUACUGUUUCAGGAGUUAGCGAAUAUUCUUUGAGAAUAAGGGACACGGAGGUAAGAAGAACAGAGGAGAGUCAGUUUUAAAGAUAAAAAAAUCUAAAGAUGAAGAAAUUGAAAAGUCGCAGAGAAGGAAUUGGACAGGGAAAUUUUUAUAUUUAUUUUCAGCAAAAUAUUCUUGACUGUCGUCCCAUUUGAAAAUUGUUAUAGGAGAAAAGGGUAAAAGAAAGAUCGAUGGAAAAUGGCGGAUGAUAUGAAAGGAAAAUAGACGAUAAACGCGGGAUGCAAAAAUUGAAAAAAAGUGCAAUAUCGUCGAAGACCUCGCACGUAUGACGCUAUAUUGGUACAGGUACAGUAGAACGUGGCCAAAGUGGUUGGAGAAACAAGUGUAUAUUUUCGACGAGCAAUAAACGGAUAUUUCUUCGAUC
This is a long non-coding RNA of Apis cerana (Asiatic honeybee), 6005 nucleotides long. RefSeq lists it as uncharacterized. The record is from RefSeq and is a predicted model, not a curated record. Lineage: Eukaryota; Metazoa; Arthropoda; Insecta; Hymenoptera; Apidae.